CUUCUCUGCAAAAUGUCUCUCCACCAUGAGCUCAGUUCUCCAUGUCUAAAGGUGUCAGAUGCUCGACUUUCUCAGGUGUCUCCACUAGCAUGGCGUGGGUUGUGAUAGCGUAAUAUAAUUCCGUUUUUUCUGAGAAAAAAUGAAUAGUCUGAUGUGCUUAAUAUCGUGAACCAAUAUGUCCAGGUGUUGCUACAGUGAAAAAACUUACGUUGAUUUUGGCUAUGCUUAUUUUUAUUGCAGAUUAGUGUUUCAUGGGUCGAGCUUUGAAGCUCCUAGUGGAAGCUGUUUCUUGGAUCCUACUUCACCUAUCCUAUGAUACUAAGGGAAUAAAGAUUUUCUUAUGA
Lolium perenne is the source of this 344-nucleotide long non-coding RNA. RefSeq lists it as uncharacterized. The record is from RefSeq and is a predicted model, not a curated record. NCBI's taxonomy places the organism in Eukaryota, Viridiplantae, Streptophyta, Magnoliopsida, Poales, Poaceae.